Molecule: non-coding RNA, 37 nt
Organism: Nostoc sp. NIES-3756
Lineage: Bacteria; Bacillati; Cyanobacteriota; Cyanophyceae; Nostocales; Nostocaceae
Source: Rfam
CUUUCAACCCACCCCUAGCCGGGAUGGUCGUUGAAAC